UAUUUUAUAUUAGAUGUAAAAACUAAUAAUAAUUAUGAAGUAUUCUUAAAUGAAAAAUGAUUACGAGAAGGCAUUAACAGAUAUACGGCAGUUUCGGGAUACAAACGGAAUAUUUUAGGAAUAUCUAAGGUUAGCUGGGUUCUAAUAAGUUAUAAAUUUAUAAUUUUAAUAAUACAUUUCUGAUAUUUUAUAGAUAAAAACUUUGUUUUUGAAAUAUUACAAAACAUAAAAAAAAGUGGAAUAAGUCCAAAGAAAGUAGAUGAAAUCGAAGAGAUUAUGUUUGAAUC
Monomorium pharaonis (pharaoh ant) is the source of this 287-nucleotide long non-coding RNA. RefSeq lists it as uncharacterized. Lineage: Eukaryota; Metazoa; Arthropoda; Insecta; Hymenoptera; Formicidae. The record is from RefSeq and is a predicted model, not a curated record. The transcript has 2 exons.